UUCAGUCUGCCGGGCGGUGGCCUGCUCCCUCUCGAGCCGCCCGCCGCUUAUCCCGUCUGCUGCCGCUCGCCGCCUGCCGCCCGCCGCUUAUCCCAUCUCCUGCCGCUCUACCGCCGCCCCAGCGCCUCUAUAAGAUGAUCCCCGGCCUCGCUUAUCCACAAGCGGCCGCGGAGGGGCUCGGCUGCCGAGCCGCCACCAGGGGGCGUACCGGCGAGGGGUUGCGUCCACCUUGCCGUCGAGUGCCUCCUCCCCUCCGGCCGCCCCGAUUCCCUCUUCAUCCUCCAGCUCCAGCCCAACCCCGACACCCCGGACGUCAGGCGGGUCUUCCGUCGCCUAGCCAACCUCCUGGCCCCUCGGCGCGAUCCCCAUCCCCGGCUGACACCGCCCUUCGCGCCGUUGAAGAGGCCUUUGCCCACCUCUUGGAGAGCACCUCCACCAGCGCCGGUUUCGCUCCUGCUGCUCCCGGCGGCGUUUCCGUCUCAGAGAUGUGCUCUGGACGGUCUGCCCCCACUGCUGCCAUGUGCAUGAGUACGAGCGCAUGCUGGUGGGGUGUUUGCUUGGGUGCUCGAACCCCUGGUUCAUGUGCGUGUUCGUGGCUACCUAGCCCGCGCGGCUGCCCUCUCCCUGCUCGCCGGUCGCCGCCGCUCGGGUUGUUCGCGCAGGCUAAGCCACGGAUUGUGUACAAAAUAUUCACAACAAAGCAACGAUCAAACAGAGAUCCAGUUACAGCAAAGAUGCGAAAAUUGAGUAGUCAAUAUAGCAGGUGCAGUGUGAACUCCUGUUUUCCCGUAGUAACUUCAGAAAAAAGUCUCUCUACCUGGGUUAAGAAAUUCAGAACUUUACAGUGAGCAGAAUGUGGACCUUAUAAGGUCUACACAUGCAAGAUUCAGGAAUUGGAAACGGAAGUAACACGGCAGAAGUUCUCCACUGGGCUCAAGGGGAUGAAUUGGUUAACUACAGAGAGCUUCAACAUGGUGGCAACCUGGAAAUGAGAGGAAGUGGAAGGACAGAAGGUACGCUUCUGCAAAAUCCAAGUUCUCAGGAGUAUCUCACAAAUGAGUCAUCAUAGGUGAGAGAUGUCUCAUCCAGCCGGACGAUAUUAUUGACUAUUUAAUAGCAGCUGACCAAUAGUUUUGGUAAUUAGAGAAGAAGACAAUUCCACAGAAGCAAAGCCAGUUCAUUGCUGAGUAGCUCCGGAGAGUGUCAACGUAUGUGCCCAAACUCAAUAGAACAAGCACUAACGAUAGCAGAACUUGAAAAAUCCAGGAGAUGGCUGCUCUCACCAUAUAGUUCAAAGGUUCACUAUCCAAUGAUGCUAUUUAUGUUUAGGGUACUUGCUGUAUAACUGGUUAUAACAGAUAUGUUGUUUUGUGAUGACAUAUCUUUAGGAAAGAACAUUCAAAUAGAGAAAUUUUGUUGUGUUAGAUUUUUAUUAUUACCAAGUAUACGAGUUUGCUCUAGUCUCAAAGUAUUACAGUUAUACGUGAAUAUGAUAAUCAAUUGCAUGUUUGUGAAGAACAGAGGCCUGUAAGUGUGGCGGUAUGGCCUCUUUCUAGAGACAUACUUGACUGCUUAUUAAGUUGUGGGUUGUUUUUUGACAGAUAUAUUUUCUCACUUUCUUACAACAACUUAGUCUCCAGUUAUUGUACAAGUCUGGUGCGCAAGUGUUGUUUUGUUCCAUCUUCAGUUUGAUUAUUUUUUUUUUUUGGCGAGAAAAGU
Molecule: long non-coding RNA, 1719 nt
Organism: Triticum dicoccoides
Lineage: Eukaryota; Viridiplantae; Streptophyta; Magnoliopsida; Poales; Poaceae
Exons: 7
Source: RefSeq, a predicted model, not a curated record